This is a long non-coding RNA of Cyprinus carpio (common carp), 1088 nucleotides long. The record is from Ensembl. Lineage: Eukaryota; Metazoa; Chordata; Actinopteri; Cypriniformes; Cyprinidae.
UGUUUUGACUGUCUCCUAUAUGCCUCUAUAUUUUAUAAACGUUCAUUGUGUGUGUCUCCUCUUUCAGUUGGAAUCAUUCUGUUUGUGUACUCGAACAUCAAACUGACAUUAGGAGCAUCUGUUGUCUUGCAAUGCAAUGGGACGAGACAGAACGAUGGACAGUUCCUCUUUGUCAUUUUGUAUAACAUUAAAGAGUACUUCAGUGACUGCGAGAAACAAUGGCUUGUCAAUGGAACUCUGACAGGUCUUUUUGAGGAAGGAAAUCCAUCUUUCAUCUCUCCUAUUACAAACCUGACCGCAAGCACUGCCACUCUGCAGGCCUGUCCUGAAAAUCUUGAGUGUCUGCUCUCCUGCCCCACUGGCAAAAUCAAUGAAAAGCAACUGUGCUCUUGUGAUAUCAGCACUCCGACUUCACUUUCUGAAGGUAAGAUUCAACUGCUUAUGCUAUAGUGCUAAUUUCUGUCAAGCUACUGUAAGGGAAGUUGGAAAUAAUUAGUUACGAAUGAGUUGCACAUUUUCUUUAAGCAAAAAUAGGUUUUUUAGACCAACAAACUUGUAGCCUAUCCUGAUUCAUAAGGCAGUAAUCAUCCUUCCAGCAAAAUAGAGGGUAGUGGCCGACUACUACUUAUUGACUUUGAUUCUGGAGCUAUUUUGUUUUCUUCACAGAUAUAUUAGGGAUAUAUUAAAAUUCUUCAAAAAAAAUUUUGAACCAAACUAUCCAGCUCUGAGAUGAGAUGAAUCACAAAAUUACAACUUUCAUUUACAGCACAAUGUUUCAGAAAAUCAAAGGAGGAAAGAGGCAAAAGUGUUUGACUUUUGAGGCAAUAACCUACACGUUACUUGAAGCACUGCAAAUGACAGAUUCAAAUCAAAAAUGCUGGUACAAUAUAAAAUAUGAUUUUAAAUAUAGAUUUAGCAAUUAACUUCACAAAUAUGGUAUUACAAGACUAAUACAAAGACUAUAGAAUACCCAAGAUGUGUCACUCGUAUAGAAUUGAAUGGGGAAAAAUGCAAAGCUCAAUAUGGCUGCUCUAUCAAAGGAAGCCCCAUCUUCUGAAUAAAAGAGCCAAUCACAAAUCGGUAAGUCA